Molecule: long non-coding RNA, 534 nt
Organism: Passer domesticus (house sparrow)
Lineage: Eukaryota; Metazoa; Chordata; Aves; Passeriformes; Passeridae
Exons: 3
Source: RefSeq, a predicted model, not a curated record
AUGAGAGGUGUUUGUUCCCUUUUGAGCUGCCCUGUGGUAUCCCACCCAGCCCCCAGUGAGGAAUCCAGCAGGGAUGGGGUAUUCCUGGUCCAUCUCACUUCUGCCCAUCUGUCACGGCAAAAAACACAAAAAGGAGCCAGAUCACCCCUAAUUCAAACCCACAGCCUGACACACAUUGCCUUAUGAUUCCUCAGAAAAACCACAUAUUCAGGAAAGGGAGGAGGGAGCCAAGAAGAAGGAAGGACUUUUCUGGCCAGCUCAAGGACACCUGGAGAUCUGGUGAUGUUUUGAGGGUUAAUGAAGACAGCACAAAGAACCAUCAGGUGGCCCACUGGAACAAAGGGACAGCAGAUCAGGCGCCUGCAGCUCCAGGAUUCUCAGCCCCCAGGGAAGGAGUGGGGUUUCAAACACAGCUGGAAACAACACAUGAAAAUUUCAUUUAUUUAACAGCUACAUUUGGCCCUUGGACUCUGGGGAAAUUACUGUCAGAAGGGUAUAACUUCCACUGAUGGAACUUACACUUGUGGUAUUACU